Molecule: ribosomal RNA, 506 nt
Filed under: uncultured bacterium
Lineage: Bacteria
Description: partial 16S ribosomal RNA
Rfam family: Bacterial small subunit ribosomal RNA
Source: RNAcentral
GAUGAACGCUAGCUACAGGCUUAACACAUGCAAGUCGAGGGGUAACGAGAGGAAAGCUUGCUUUCCUUGUCGACGACCGGCGCACGGGUGAGUAACGCGUAUCCAACCUGCCUCCAACUAGGGAAUAACCUUGCGAAAGUAAGACUAAUACCCUAUAAUUUCCUCAGAUGACAUCUGACGAGGAAUAAAGAUUUAUCGGUUGUGGAUGGGGAUGCGUCUGAUUAGCUUGUUGGCGGGGUAACGGCCCAACAAGGCAACGAUCAGUAGGGGUGCUGAGAUGAAGGUCCCCCACAUUGGAACUGAGACACGGUCCAAACUCCUACGGGAGGCAGCAGUGAGGAAUAUUGGUCAAUGGGCGGAAGCCUGAACCAGCCAAGUAGCGUGCAGGAUGACGGCCCUAUGGGUUGUAAACUGCUUUUAUACAGGAAUAAAGUUAGCCACGUGUGGUUAUUUGUAGGUACUGUAUGAAUAAGGACCGGCUAAUUCCGUGCCAGCCGCCGCCGUAA